RNAcentral lists this ribosomal RNA (505 nucleotides) under uncultured bacterium. Its description in RNAcentral is "partial 16S ribosomal RNA". It matches the Rfam family "Bacterial small subunit ribosomal RNA", at positions 355 to 851 of the family's 1533-position model. The record is from RNAcentral.
UGGGGAAUUUUGGACAAUGGGCGAAAGCCUGAUCCAGCAAUGCCGCGUGUGUGAAGAAGGCCUUCGGGUUGUAAAGCACUUUUGUCCGGAAAGAAAUCCUCUGGGUUAAUACCUCGGGGGGAUGACGGUACCGGAAGAAUAAGCACCGGCUAACUACGUGCCAGCAGCCGCGGUAAUACGUAGGGUGCAAGCGUUAAUCGGAAUUACUGGGCGUAAAGCGUGCGCAGGCGGUUUUGUAAGACGGAUGUGAAAUCCCCGGGCUUAACCUGGGAACUGCAUUCGUGACUGCAAGGCUAGAGUAUGGCAGAGGGGGGUAGAAUUCCACGUGUAGCAGUGAAAUGCGUAGAGAUGUGGAGGAAUACCGAUGGCGAAGGCAGCCCCCUGGGCCAAUACUGACGCUCAUGCACGAAAGCGUGGGGAGCAAACAGGAUUAGAUAACCCCUGGUAGUCCACGCCCUAAACGAUGUCAACUAGUUGUUGGGGAUUCAUUUCCUUAGUAACGUAG